Long non-coding RNA from Leopardus geoffroyi (Geoffroy's cat), 1142 nucleotides. RefSeq lists it as uncharacterized. The record is from RefSeq and is a predicted model, not a curated record. The transcript is spliced from 3 exons. NCBI's taxonomy places the organism in Eukaryota, Metazoa, Chordata, Mammalia, Carnivora, Felidae.
GGACCCAGUCGAGAAAGUUCCUUCACACUCCUCAGAUGCUUCCUCUGGUCCCUCGACCCCACAGCCUCCCCUCACCUCCUGGAGUAGCUCAGCACAGUUGGCUUCAUCCAGUUCCCUGCGCAAAAGUGAAGGAAGACCCGUAGCAGGAAGUCGGCAUCUCUGUGUGGCUCAAAGGUGGAGGGAAUGAUGACAUAUUCCCCCGGAGGCAGCCGGAGAUGACUGCUUACCUCCCGCGAGUUAGUGAAGAUCUCUGAGAAGCCAUGGUCCUGAUACUUUAUGAAGAAGUCCUUCUUCAAGCGAGUAUCCUGGAUGUUCUGAAACUAUAUGUGCCUUGGAGGUGGGUACAGGGCUGGCAUGUGAGUAUAGGCAGAGAGAGGGACCCCAAAAGUGAAGCUUACUUGGGCAAGUCUCCGGGGGAGGCAUUACCACAAACUGACCAGUCCUGGAUACCACCCAGCUGGCAGGUAACCAAAGUAUCCCCUGCCCGACUCCCUACUCCUUGAUCUCCUGCCCUGACUCCCAUCCGGGGCCCCAACGCAGUAGAAUCCUAACCCAGUAGCCCUGAGAGCCCUUGGCUGAAUUCUACCCCUUGGCCAUCCACAUGCAGCCAGAGGUGGGGCAGUGCCUGCCCAGAAUCAAGCCCAUGUCUUCUGUACCUCCUUUGGGACCUAGGAAGAGAAGAGAGAGGAAGGCCAAACUCCCAGGAUGGUGAAAGGGCUCAGGCCUGUAGAAGUCAGGCAGUGUGUGUGUGUGUGUGUGUGUGUGUGUGCACGUGUGCACAUGUGUGUGUGUUGGGGGUGUUACAGCGGGACACUGGUGGUGGGGGGGGGGGGCAUGGGUUCUGACAGCCAAAAGUCCUAACGUUAACAUUAAUAAUCCCUCAGUUUUGGACAACAAAGCAUAGUUUACACAAAGUUUUGCCAGGGGGAAGUUUUACCCCUGCAGGUUAAGGAUAGGAAACCGAAUCCCAGGAGGUGAGGUAACGUGCCCAAUUUCACACUGCUAAAAAGUGAAAGAGCUAGGAUGAAAGUUGAGGAGAGCGUUUUCCAGAACACGAGCGUUUUCCAUGGAACACUUAUAUCCUGCAGUAGUUAACAGAGAGAGACAGAGCAUAAGCAGGAAAGGGACACACAGAAUCCAAA